Long non-coding RNA from Electrophorus electricus (electric eel), 767 nucleotides. Lineage: Eukaryota; Metazoa; Chordata; Actinopteri; Gymnotiformes; Gymnotidae. The record is from Ensembl.
UCUGAAUCUAGUAGUGUGUUCAGUGUUCUGCUGUCAGCACUAUUUCAGUUGUCCACCUACCUUGUUAAUAUCAGUGUGUACUUCAUUUUUAAUAUGUUGAUGUCAAUUUUGUCAGGAAUUUAUUCACUGUUGAUUCAUUCUGUGUAUGAACUGUUGACAGGAAGCAGAGAGCAGCAUCUCCAGAGUCCAGCUGUGUGUGUGUGAAGAGGAACAACUCCAUGAUGGAGCCUCAUAACUCCAGCAGUGGAGGAGGAACCUCUGACCCAAAGGUAGAGAGAGCAGAGUCUCCAGCACCCAGCUGUGUGUCUCUGAAGAGUGACUGGUCCAUAGGUGAUUUUCCUAACUUCAGCAAUGGACCUGUGCCGUCUGACCCAAAGGUAAAGAGAGCAGAGUCUCCAGCACCCAGCUGUGUGUCUCUGAAGAGUGAUGCGUCCAUGGGUGAUUUUCCUAACUUCAGCAAUGGAACUGUGCCGUCUGACCCAAAGGUAAAGAGAGCAGAUUCUCCAGCACCCAGCUGUGUGUCUCUGAAGAGUGACGGGUUCAUGAGUGAUCCUCCUGUAUUCAGCAGUGGACCUGUGCCGUCUGACCCAAAGUGUCACAUUACACACUCAUAUUCUUUCAUUAUUGUAGGUGUGGAAGGGUGGAGGGUGCUGUUCUGUCAGUAAUGUAAGGUCUACUCCAUCUUUACUGUUUUAAGAUCAUUUGUAAGGUGUGUUAAUGAUGAUCACUGAGUGAGGAUGACAGUCAACAAUUCCAGUUAUACAGCU